Trichosurus vulpecula (common brushtail) is the source of this 107-nucleotide small nuclear RNA. Lineage: Eukaryota; Metazoa; Chordata; Mammalia; Diprotodontia; Phalangeridae. The record is from RefSeq and is a predicted model, not a curated record.
GUGCUUGCUCCGGCAGCACAUAUGCUAAAAUUGGAACGAUACAGAGAAGAUUAGCGUGGCCCCUGCACAAGGGUGACACGUGAAGCGAAAAUACAAGGUAGUCUUUA